CUUGGUCAUUUAGAGGAAGUAAAAGUCGUAACAAGGUUUGGAAAGAGUUCCAGCGGUCCCUUCCGCGGGUGACGCUCACGAGAAGCCUUUGUGGCCCCGCAAGGGGUGCCCGCCGCGACUAUAAACAAGGGAAGCGAGCAUUAAAUCGCAAGUCGGCGCGCAACGGCCGGCAACACUUUCGAAUUGCGGGGACACCCUAAAGCCAGCGCCUACCAACCCAGCGGGGAAACCCAGCGGGGGGCCCAUGCUAACAGCAUGGGGUACGGUAAAAAGGGCGCCGGAUACGUGGGCAAUCCGCAGCCAAGCCCCUACGGUCCCCCGCUCGCGCGCGGGACACGGGGAAGGUUCACAGACUAGGUGGAAGUGGGCGGGGGGUCGACCCCCCGCUUAAGAUAUAGUCGGGCCCCGCGGGAAACCGCGGGGGAGUCACAACCGUUCCGUAGGUGAACCUGCGGAAGGAUCAUUACCAGGAAAACGGCGCCCUCACCGGCGCCCAAUCCUCCAACCCUCUGUAUACCAAAACUCUUUUGUUGCCUCCGGCGCGCCCUCGGGCCGCCGGGGGGCCAGCAGCAGGGAGCCCUGUUAUGUGUCCGUCUCCCCGGUAGUCGUAGGAGUUUUUCGCCGUUAGAUGAGUCGGUGUGUAUGUACAUACACACUAGGCCCGGCGCCCUUGCCUGCCGCAAGGGAGACGAACACAGCCGAAGCUUCUGGCGGCCAAAGUAGUAGGGGGGGGGAACAAGGGCGGCUCCAUCCCGAUAGCUCCUCGGAGAACGGGCGUGGUGACGAACUUGCCCUUCCCCCCCCCUAUCACCCAAUUUGGCCCCCCGGAAGGGAGGCAACCCCCCAGGGCCCCGUCGUUUAUCAGUCCCCCGGCAGUCGCAGGGGCUCUAUGCCGUGUUGAUUAGCCUGGUCGGUGUGUCCAAAAUAGGGACCAACCUUACUCCUAACGCCAGUCUGCUCUUCGGAGAACAGGUCUGGGAGGGGGCCCUUAGCGUAAGUGGCACCUUUGUAUGUAGAACCCUACAUACAGCCACCUGGUCCGGCGCUCCCGCCUACCGGGGGGAAGAUGAACGCAACCAAACCUUUCCGUCGUGAUAGCAUCGUCUGAGAAUUAUCAUGAAAAUGAACGUACAACUUUUAACAAUGGAUCUCUUGGCUCCGGCAUCGAUGAAGGACGCAGCGAAAUGCGAUAGCUAGUGUGAAUUGCAGAUUUCAGUGAAUCAUCGAGUCUUUGAACGCACAUUGCGCCUCUUGGUAUUCCUCGAGGCAUGCCUGUUCGAGCGUCGUUACGCCCCUCAAGCGCGAGCUUGGUGUUGGGGAUCGCCCCUGAAAUACGGCGGCGGCCCUUGAAUGCAUCGGCGGUGCUGGUGCCAGCCCGGAGCGCAGCAGACAUGCGGCUUCCUGGGCGGCCCCGCGCCCGCCGGACAACGACCCCUUCUUAAACGUCGACCUCGAAUCAGGUAGGGAUACCCGCUGAACUUAAGCAUAUCAAUAAGCGGAGGA
This 1503-nucleotide ribosomal RNA is filed under the name fungal endophyte sp. g95. RNAcentral's name for it is "eukaryotic LSU rRNA". The stretch from base 1133 to 1286 matches the Rfam family "5.8S ribosomal RNA". The record is from RNAcentral. Lineage: Eukaryota; Fungi.